ACGCCCAACAGCUAGCCCACCUAAACAAUUUCAACAAACCCCUGUUAAUACCCCCUAAGUACCCUAGUAUUUAAAUUAAACAAACCAUUUUUCCCCCUUAGUAUAGGCGAUAGAAAAGGGACCCCGGCGCAAUAGAGAAAGUACCGCAAGGGAACGCUGAAAGAGAAGUGAAAUAACCCAGUAAAGCCUGAAAAAGCAGAGAUUUAAACUCGUACCUUUUGCAUCAUGAUUUAGCGAGUGUACCUCAAGCAAAGAGCACUUUAGUUUGACGUCCCGAAACUACGUGAGCUACUCCAAGACAGCCUAUUAAUAGGGCGCACCCGUCUCUGUGGCAAAAGAGUGGGGAGAGCUUUGAGUAGAGGUGACAAACCUACCGAACC
RNAcentral lists this ribosomal RNA (380 nucleotides) under Gymnocanthus galeatus (armorhead sculpin). Its description in RNAcentral is "partial 16S ribosomal RNA". It matches the Rfam family "Bacterial large subunit ribosomal RNA", at positions 150 to 839 of the family's 2925-position model. Lineage: Eukaryota; Metazoa; Chordata; Actinopteri; Perciformes; Cottidae. The record is from RNAcentral.